CAUAGUGAAAUGGCUGACAAUCAUUCGAAUCAGAUAAAUAGAAACUAUAACUAAUGUUUCAGUUACAUUCAAAAGGUUAAAAAAAAAUGUCUAAAGAAGGAUAUGCCAGAAAACCAGAUAAAUUAUGCAGUUCAAACAUGUUCGAAGUUGAUGAAAAAGAGAUCCACGUAUUCGGAAAUGAAUGGCGCGUUCGAAUUGCGAGUGUAACUGCGUCGAGGACAAAAUGAAAGACGCUUCCGUGAUAAUUUCCGAUCGUGACGUUUCGCAUCGUCAAAACUGCAAUAGCGUACUUUAUUAUCGUGGAAUCAACACGGGUCACUCGGUUGAAAAUUCUCCAACAUAUGUGUCCAGAGAAAAAAGAGAUAAGCGAAAAUAUAUAGCAAUGGAAAUUCGAACAAGAGACGAAUCAGUAUCACAGAACGUUGCAUUUUUGACUUUAAUACAUCGA
Long non-coding RNA from Apis dorsata (giant honeybee), 448 nucleotides. RefSeq lists it as uncharacterized. Lineage: Eukaryota; Metazoa; Arthropoda; Insecta; Hymenoptera; Apidae. The record is from RefSeq and is a predicted model, not a curated record. The transcript has 2 exons.